UUCCGGUUGAUCCUGCCAGAGGUCACUGCCAUCGGGGUUCGAUUAAGCCAUGCGAGUCGAGAGGGUUCAGGCCCUCGGCGGACUGCUCAGUAACACGUGGAUAACCUGCCCUAAGGUGGAGCAUAACCCCGGGAAACUGGGGAUAAUACUCCAUAGGUUAGAGAUACUGGAAUGUUCUUUAAUCAAAAGUUCCGGCGCCUUAGGAUGGAUCUGCGGCCGAUUAGGUAGUUGUUGGGGUAACGGCCCAACAAGCCUGUAAUCGGUACGGGUUGUGGGAGCAAGAGCCCGGAGAUGGAAUCUGAGACACGAUUCCAGGCCCUACGGGGCGCAGCAGGCGCGAAAACUUUACAAUGCAGGAAACUGUGAUAAGGGAACCCCGAGUGCCCGUAUACGCGGGCUGUCCGGGUGUAUAAAAAGCAUCUGAAGAAAGGGCCGGGCAAGACCGGUGCCAGCCGCCGCGGUAAUACCGGCGGCUCGAGUGGUGACCACUUUUAUUGGGCUUAAAGCGUUCGUAGCUGGACUCUUAAGUCUCUUGGGAAAUCCCGCGGCUCAACCGUGGGGCGUUUAAGAGAUACUGGGAGUCUAGGAACCGGGAGAGGUAAGAGGUACUUCGGGGGUAGAAGUGAAAUUCUGUAAUCCUCGAGGGACCACCGAUGGCGAAGGCAUCUUACCAGAACGGCUUCGACAGUGAGGAACGAAAGCUGGGGGAGCGAACGGGAUUAGAUACCCCGGUAGUCCCAGCCGUAAACGAUGCGCGUUAGGUGUACUGGUGACCACGAGUCACUGGGGUGCCGAAGGGAAACCGUGAAACGUGCCGCCUGGGAAGUACGGUCGCAAGGCUGAAACUUAAAGGAAUUGGCGGGGGAGCACCACAACGGGUGGAGCUGCGGUUUAAUUGGAGUCAACGCCGGA
Molecule: ribosomal RNA, 912 nt
Filed under: uncultured archaeon O23C7
Lineage: Archaea; Methanobacteriati; Methanobacteriota; Methanomicrobia; Methanomicrobiales
Description: bacterial SSU rRNA
Rfam family: Archaeal small subunit ribosomal RNA
Source: RNAcentral